Molecule: ribosomal RNA, 433 nt
Filed under: uncultured bacterium
Lineage: Bacteria
Description: partial 16S ribosomal RNA
Rfam family: Bacterial small subunit ribosomal RNA
Source: RNAcentral
AACGAACGCUGGCGGCAUGCCUAACACAUGCAAGUCGAACGAGACCUUCGGGUCUAGUGGCGCACGGGUGCGUAACGCGUGGGAACCUGCCCUUAGGUUCGGAAUAACUCCCCGAAAGGGGUGCUAAUACCGGAUAAUGUCUUCGGACCAAAGAUUUAUCGCCUUUGGAUGGGCCCGCGUUGGAUUAGCUAGUUGGUAGGGUAAAAGCCUACCAAGGCGACGAUCCAUAGCUGGUCUGAGAGGAUGAUCAGCCACACUGGGACUGAGACACGGCCCAGACUCCUACGGGAGGCAGCAGUGGGGAAUAUUGGACAAUGGGCGAAAGCCUGAUCCAGCAAUGCCGCGUGAGUGAUGAAGGCCUUAGGGUUGUAAAGCUCUUUUACCCGGGAUGAUAAUGAUAGUACCGGGAGAAUAAGCUCCGGCUAACUCCGUG